Molecule: regulatory RNA element, 31 nt
Organism: Gasterosteus aculeatus (three-spined stickleback)
Lineage: Eukaryota; Metazoa; Chordata; Actinopteri; Perciformes; Gasterosteidae
Rfam family: Iron response element II
About the family: IRE, TFRC, SLC40A1, SDHB, SLC11A2, CDC42BPA, ACO2, ALAS2_H.SAPIENS, CDC14A, EPAS1, ALAS2, qoxD, Hao1, NDUFS1, transferrin, Aconitate.
Source: Rfam
ACGUUAUCGGGAGCAGUGUCUCCCAUGACGA